GUCAAUCUCUAACAAGUUUUUUACGUCGGCCCAGUUUUUUCGACCCGACCCGACCCGGCCCAUUAGCUCUUGAACCCUUUUAGAACAAAGGGGUUUGAGAGGUUUCAGUAGCAGGCAGCUGAGUUGUGAGAGACGGCAAAAGGCAAUGGCUACGGAGGAGAAGAAGAGCGGCUCGUGGCGUCUGCAAAGUGGUCAAUAUCUGGGAGAAGUGUCAGCCCUGUGUUUCCUUCACCUACCUUCUCACCUGUCAAUAAUAAGGGAGCUUCCUUAUUUAGUGGCCGGGUCCGGUUCGCAAAUCUUGGUCUAUGAUUUGGAGCUGGGAACAAUGAUGAGUUCGUUCGACGUUUUCCAAGGCAUUCGCGUCCAUGGGAUUUGCUGCGGCGCUACUCAUACUGAUGGCCCGGAGAGUCAAGGUGUUGAUUUCGAAAUCGCUGUGUUUGGGGAAAGGAGAGUCAAGGUGUUUAGAUUGGAGAUUAAUUUGGGGCAGCAAGUCAGCGUUGGUCUGAGGCUGUUGCACUUGUUACCUAACUUUGGGAAUUGGGUUCUGGAUGUUUCCUUCAUCAAGCAUGGGGAAGGUCAGUGUCUUGCUAUUGGGUGUAGUGACAACUCUGUCCAUCUUUGGGAUGUAUCUACUUCUACCGUGGUUCUUCAAGUUCAGCAUCCUGAGAGGACGCUUCUGUAUUCAAUGCGGUUAUGGGGUGAAACUAUUGAAGCUCUGCGCAUUGCAUCCGGUACUAUCUAUAAUGAGAUCAUUGUUUGGAAAGUGGCUUCUCAGUCUGAUGCAUCAUGUUUGACAAGCCAAGUUGAACAGCACUUUGAUCAAAGCAAUUCGCUCUCAAACGGUGUUCAGCUUCAUAAUUGCCAGUAUGAAGCUAUUCAUAUUAGCAAACUUGCUGGACAUGAAGGUUCAAUUUUUCGCAUAUCGUGGUCCUCUGAUGGAUCAAAACUGGUUUCAGUAUCUGACGAUCGUAGUGCUCGUGUCUGGGCAGUUUGUACUGAAACGAUGCAUUCUAAUAAGCCAGCAGACUCCAUUGGGCUUAUGUUAUUUGGUCACAGUGCCCGAGUUUGGGACUGCUGCAUUUUUGGAUCGUUAAUUGUCACAGCUGGUGAGGAUUGUACUUGUCGUGUGUGGGGCCUGGAUGGAAAACACCUAGAGACAAUCAAGGAGCACAUAGGAAGGGGCAUAUGGCGAUGUUUGUAUGAUCCGAAAUCUUCGCUUCUAAUUACUGCUGGCUUUGACUCUGCAAUUAAAGUGCAUCAGCUGCACAUUCCAUUCUCUGGGGGAUUAAAGGGACAUGCAGAGACAAAACAAAUCGGUGGAAUAGUUACAUACACAACUCGUAUCCCUACUUUAUCCGAGCAUAUUGGACCUAUGGACAGCAAAAGUGAAUAUGUUCGUUGCUUGCGUUUUACAUGUGAGGACACCCUUUAUGUUUCCACAAACCAUGGUUAUAUGUACCAUGCUAAGCUAUUGGAUACCGAAGUAGAAUGGACAAAACUUGUUCGCGUCAGUGAGGAGGUGCCAAUUGUUUGCAUGGAUUUAUUGUCAGAACCAUUCAAACUUUCUUCUGGUGUUAAGGAUUGGAUUGCUGUUGGAGAUGGUAAAGGAAACAUGACAGUUGUUGGGGUUAUAUAUGGUGCUUGUACCCCUAGAGUUGGUUUUGCCUUUACUUGGUCAGCUGGAAUAGAAAGACAACUCCUUGGAGCACAUUGGUGCCAGUCACUAGGUUACGGGUUCAUCUUCACUGCUGAUCCUAGAGGAACAUUGAAGCUGUGGAGGCUGUGUGAUCACUCUGCAACGAGCUGUGAUGUGUCUCUUUUAGCUGAAUUCACAUCAAGUUUCGGAAGUAGAAUAAUGUGUUUAGAUGCAUCUUUGGAGGAAGAGGUAUUGGUAUGUGGAGAUAUACGUGGAAAUCUUGUUUUGUUCCCUUUGUUGAAGAGUGUGUUGCUGGGCACAUUGGUCACUUCUGAUGUUAAAAUAUCUCCAUCAAGUUGUUUCAGAGGAGCUCAUGGGAUAUCAAGCAUCUCCAGUGUUGCUGUUGCUAGACUAAGUAGUAAUCAGAUUGAAAUAUGCUCGACUGGAGCAGAUGGGUGUAUAUGCUAUCUGGAAUAUGACAAAGAUAGGAAGGAUUUGGAAUUUAUAGGGAUGAAACAAGUGAAGGAGUUGAGUCUUAUUCAAUCUGUCUCUGCGUGCAAUAGCUUUGUGAAUGAGCCAUCAAACUGUCAUUAUGCUGCUGGUUUUGCAUCAGUGGAUUUUAUAAUUUGGAAUUUAUUAACUGAGACCAAGGUCUUCCAAAUCCCAUGUGGUGGAUGGCGGCGUCCUCAUUCCUAUUAUCUUGGUGAUGUACCAGAGAUAAAGAACUGCUUUGCAUAUGUUAAGGAUGAUAUCAUUUAUAUUCAUCGACGCUGGGUACUGAAUGGUGAAGGGAAGGAACUCUCUAGGAAUUUGCAUAUGCAAUUCCAUGGGAGAGAGAUGCAUUCCAUAUGCUUUGUCUCAGAAGAAUUGCAACCUGGAGUAACUGGGAAGGACCAUCUGCUCUAUAGAUCUAGUUGGAUUGCAACUGGCUGUGAAGACGGAACUGUGAGGUUGACUAGGUAUAUGCCAGAUGUUGAUAAUUGGUCUGGAUCAAAAUUGCUUGGGGAGCAUGUUGGUGGAUCAGCUGUGAGAUCAAUAUGCUGUGUGUCAAAGAUAAACAUACUUCCGUCAGAUAUGACUGGCAUUCCCAAUAUAAGAACUGCUAACAAUGGAACAACAGAGAAUAGAGAGACUCCAACUUUGUUGAUUUCUGUUGGUGCAAAGCGGGUCUUGACUUCUUGGCUACUAAGAAGUAGGAAAGUAGACAAGAAGGAAGAAAUAGUACGUGAUCCGCAGCAUGACAACACUGGAAAUGGCAAUACAUGUUUGUCCCCAGAGUCGCCUUCAAUGUCAUUCCAGUGGCUUUCUACAGAUAUGCCAGCAAAAUAUUCUAGUAUUCAAAAAGUUCCAACAAACAUCGAGAAAAGAGCUGAUCAAGCUGGCGAUGCUGAUGGUAAAGAUGAUGCAGCAUCAGAAAAGGGAAACAAAGACUUGAACUCCUGCAUUAAAGAUAAAUAUGAAGAUGACUGGAGAUACAUGGCUGUUACUGCUUUUCUUGUAAAGUGCGCCAAUUCCAGGAUAACUGUCUGUUUUAUUGGUGUUGCUUGUUCUGAUGCCACCCUUGCAUUACGGGCUCUAGUUUUGCCCUAUAGGCUAUGGUUUGAUGUUGCUUUUCUGUGUCCUCUAUCAUCACCAGUUCUGUCCCUACAGCAUGUCAUCCUUCCUGCAUGUCUACCUUCUGAAGGCAAUUGGCAGAUUGGAAGUUUGUAUAUUCUCAUCAGUGGGGCUACUGAUGGAAGUAUUGCCUUUUGGGACCUCACUAGAAGCAUUGAAGCUUUUAUGCAGCUGGUAUCAGUGCUUGAUACAGAAAAGUUCAUUGACUGUCAGAAACGGCCGAGAACAGGGAGGGGAAGUCAGGGUGGAAGACGGUGGAGAUCUUUAGACAGUAGAAUGUCAAAGAAUAGGCUAGGUGCCAGUUCUACUACUGUCAAAGCUGGAGUGGAAACUGAUGAGAAUUUGCCAAAGCAUUCUGGGGAUGGAACUUCAUCAAUGCUAAAUGAUAAUGGGAGCAGUAGAACGGCUUCUUCACAUGCUAUUCAUACUGCUUCCCUAGAUUCAGAAGCAAGUGCUUAUGAUUCCUCAUCGGACAUAUGUGAAAUAUCACCAUUACUUGUCUUCAAGGCCAUUCACAAAUCUGGUGUCAAUUCUCUCCACAUUUCAAAUGUAGAGGGUUGUCUAAGUCCUGAAAUCGGUUUUCUCUAUAAUUUAAUUAGUGGGGGUGAUGAUCAAGCCCUUAGCUGUCUUACAUUUGAAUUGUCAUUGUCAACAUUUAGCGCUGAAUUUGAUAAUAUGACACUGGAAAUCAAAAAUUCAAUCACUGAACUUGGAAAUGCAAAGAAGUUGGUUCAUUCUAACCAAGACAAGAAGAAGAACUAUUGGAUCCGAUUCUUAAAUCAUGAUACAGUCCCCUCAGCUCACAGCUCUGCCGUAAAAGGUGUUUGGACAGACGGAUCUUGGGUUUUUUCAACUGGUCUGGAUCAGCGUGUCAGGUGCUGGCGUCUUCAGGAGGAAGGUAAAUUAAUCGAGUAUGCUUAUUUAGUCAUCAGUGUGCCAGAGCCAGAAGCACUGGAUGCUAAACUGUGUGGCAGGAACAAAUAUCAGAUUGCUGUAGCUGGGAGGGGAAUGCAGAUGCUGGAGUUCUCUGAAAUUCUGGCAUCAGUUGAUAUAACCCAGUAAGAGGAAGGAACUAAAAUGAUUUUGUGAGAUUUUGAACCAGACACAUCUCGUCCGCUUAUCUACGAAAAUGAUGCAGGAAUUGUCAACCAUUGAUGAUCUACUUGCAACUAAUGUGGAACUUGAACCAGAAAAGAUUGAAGAUGGGAAAAAUGGAGGUCCUUCAUUCCAUUCUGAUCUUUACAACACGGAAUUAGUCCACAACAUAGCUCAAGGUUUCAUUCCUAGAUUAGCUGCUGCUUGUGUUGAUAAGACAUCUGGAGAUAUCUUCAAGACCCCUGCUUCUGUGGCGGCCGAUGUGAGAAAGGAAAUGGUGGAGUUGUCACUCAAAGAAAUGAGAAUUUUGUUGCAGAAUCUGUUAUCCUAGAAGGUGGCCAAGAUCGUUAAGUGUCUGAUCAUCCCUAUGACAUCAUUUCUGAUUUUGUUUGAUGACUUUGCCAGCUCCAAGAGAAAUUUAUUUAGUCAGGUUUGAGGAUGGCUGCUAAGUGAAAAGAGAGAAGAUAAAAUAGAUGAUUUUGUUCAAGAGAUGGAAAUAAGUGGGUUUUGGUUGGUUGAUGAGAUAGAAACAAUAGCACAGAGUUUGGUAAAGAAUGUCGACCUCAAGAAUUAGCAUCACUGCGAUAUGAAAUUUCACACCCCAGAGGAGCUUGAACAGAAUUUUCCAAAUUGUGGCUAUAGGUCUAUGAGUUGCACAAAUGAUGGAUAUAAUGCCAUAUUUUGUGCAAGCCAGGUGUAUAAACAUGAUGCAAUAUGCUCCUUCAAGAAUCAAGAUAAUUCCAUGCGAACAAAACUGCACCGACACGAUCAUGAGACGUGAGAUGGAUAGACAUUGUAUUACCAUCUGUCCAAUGAAGCUUGUUAGUUGUCCUUUCUAUGCAGUGGGAUGGCAAUUCCCAAUACCACAUUGUAAGCUUGAGCAGCAUCAUUCAGAUGAUCUCCAUUCUCACAUGCUGGUUGUUUUACAAAGUAUUCAUAAAGAAGCAUCGAUGGAAGAUCUGGAAAGAAGCCUGGAGCAACUAAAAGAAGUGAGUUCUUUAUAUCUUAGUUGCACUUUUGUUAACUACAGUUUAAGGGCAAACACCACAAAGAUCUGCUAUUUGGUAUUACAAGAUUUAAACAUAAACAGUUAUAGCAUUGAAUAUGAAAAAUAACUAUGCUCUUUUUGGUAUACCUGGAAGGCUAGAAGUCUGGAACUACCUUUAGCAUUCAACCCCCAGAAAUAUAGAUAUUUCAUUUUCCAAAUAUGUGUAGGUGUCAGUAUAGGCUUCUUAGUUUUAGUGGUCUUAAUUUCGUGGAUAUAUUGGGAAAUGAACAAAAGAAGGCUCAUCAAGCUAAAAAAGAAGCACUUCUAAGAAAACAGUGGCUUAACGUUACAACGACAACUCGCUAGUCAUAGAGGAGCCAUGGAAUCAACAAAAAUCUUUACAGCGGAAGAACUUGAGAAGGCCACAAACAAUUAUCAUGCAGAUGAGAUCCUUGGUGAAGGAGGCUAUGGAACGGUUUACAAAGGAAUUCUACCCUGAAUACUUUCCAGUCCAAUCAACUCACCGAAAAAAGUGACGUCAAUAGCUUUAGAGUUGUCCUGGCAGAGCUACUAACGAGCGGAGUGGCACUUUCUUUUGCUAGACCUGACGCAGAGAGAUGCCCAGCAAGUUUCUUUGUUUCUUCAAUAGAGAAAGAUUGCUUGAUUGAAAUUCUUGAUGCUGACAUAGUGAAUGAGAAGAACAGAGACAGCUCUCUGCUGUGCUUAUCUCGCAAAAAUAUGUCUGAGGAUAAAAAGAGAGAAAGGCCUACAAUGAAGUAGCCAUGGAAUUGGAGGGAAUGCAAAUUACAGCGAAGCAUCCAUGGGGAAGUAAUGCAAAUUCAUGUACCGAGGAGACUGAGUAAUUGCUGGGGUCCUAUCAAUUCAGAAGCUUACAUUGUUAAUGUUAAGGGUGAUGGUGAUGAAGGCUCUAGUGGCACAACUAGUGAGUAUGACAGCAUGCAAAUUCAGAUGUUAAUGCCCUAUGGUGGUGGGAGUUUUAGGUAACUUGUUUCAAUUUGGGUCCUCAUCGAAUAAAGUAAACUACGUAGUGUUAUUAUUUUGUGUAAUUGAUUAAUUUUCGUCAUACAAAGUUGAUAAUAUGUAACUUAGGAUGAGGGAUUUUCUGUUCCAGCAAUUUGUAACAAUUUGUAAAGAUUUGGGUCUUUUCGUGUAUUGUUAUUGGAAUUUGGAGUA
Rosa chinensis is the source of this 6527-nucleotide RNA transcript. RefSeq lists it as uncharacterized. The record is from RefSeq and is a predicted model, not a curated record. The transcript is spliced from 21 exons. NCBI's taxonomy places the organism in Eukaryota, Viridiplantae, Streptophyta, Magnoliopsida, Rosales, Rosaceae.